Molecule: non-coding RNA, 5351 nt
Organism: Sus scrofa (pig)
Lineage: Eukaryota; Metazoa; Chordata; Mammalia; Artiodactyla; Suidae
Source: RefSeq, a predicted model, not a curated record
UGAAUGAAUGAAUGAAUGAAGGUGUAUACCCGAGCCCAUAUUCCUACAAUCCCUGCUUUUCUGUCGCAGUGGGUGACCAGCCGCGUCAGGCAUUGCAGACGAUCCCUUGGCUCCCAGGUUGGGGGCGCCCAAGCGCGGAGCCGACAGGCACUUGAGCGACGCUCCCCGAAAGCCAGGGCGGUGGCCGCGCCAGGAGAGGGGCUGUCGCCUUUUGGCGACGUUCCCGGCGGGCCACCGCGCCGCCGCCGGGGCCAAAGAGGGGGUCGGGCGGUGAGCGCGCGCGCUGAUCUUUUGCGACGGUGCCCUGCGGCACUGGCCCCGCCCCCUCCCCGCCCCCGAGGCCCGCCCUGCCCCGCCCCCGCCGCUGCGCUCGCUCGGGGCCGCUCAGGCCCCCGCCCGCUUCAUGUGGCCGGGCCCGCGGCGGCCGGCGGCGAGGAGCGGCGAGGCGGCGGAGAGCGGCGGCCGGCGAGGCCCGGGAGGUGGUGGCCGAGGCCCAGGAGGCGGCGGCGGCGGCCCAGGAGGCGGCGGACGGGGAGCGGCGGGAGCAGGCCCGGCCCGGCCCUUGAGCGGCCGCCCGGCUGCAGCAUGCGCGUCCGCCGGGGGCUGCUGCGGCUGCCGCGCCGCUCGCUGCUCGCCGCUCUCUUCUUCUUUUCGCUCUCGUCCUCGCUGCUCUACUUCGUCUAUGUGGCUCCCGGCAUAGUGAACACCUACCUCUUCAUGAUGCAAGCUCAAGGCAUUCUGAUCCGGGACAACAUGAGGACAAUCGGCGCUCAGGUUUACGAGCAGGUGGUUCGGAGUGCUUACGCCAAGAGGAACAGCAGCGUGAACGACUCAGACUAUCCUCUUGACUUGAACCACAGCGAAACCUUCCUACAAACCACAACUUUUCUUCCUGAAGACUUCACCUACUUUGCAAACCACACCUGCCCCGAAAGGCUCCCUUCCAUGAAGGGCCCAAUAGACAUAAACAUGAGUGAAAUUGGAAUGGAUACCAUCCAUGAACUCUUCUCUAAAGACCCAGCCAUCAAGCUUGGAGGUCACUGGAAGCCAUCGGAUUGCGUGCCUCGGUGGAAGGUAGGGGUGAGGUCAGACCGCAGGUACUGGGAAGCCUACCUGGGACUUGGUGUCUUUGGAAUCCCCAAGGGUUUCACACUGACAUUUUGUAAUUUGCACCGUCCUUGCUACUUAAUGCAAAAUUGUUGCAUCUGUCGGGAACAUAUUGGAGGAAUGGGUUUCCCUAAGGGCUCUUGUGUAGCCACAGAAAGUCUUUGUUCUGGUGACCCAGCCGGACCCUUAUCUUCCUCACAGAGAUAUUGGCUGAGUGGGGGAGUUGGCAGUGGUAGGUCUCCUAUGAGGCAAUUGCAGAAGCUGCCCCACAAAUUCGGUACUUCAUGCCUUAUUUGGCAAUCCUGCUGUGAGUUUAGUGGAAUAAAAAGCCGAGUUGUCCAGCCCGACACUGAGAACUGUUUAGUUUCGCCCUGUGUGACUGUCGUCAGGAGACGUCAGGAGUGUGGCUCGAUCAAGCCUGUGACACCAGCCGAAGUCCCUUCUUUUCAGCGAGUCUUUAUUGAAGUACUUGGUCUGUGCCAGCCCUGUGAGAAGUUGUGGUGCAGCAAUGAUCAAAGCAUGUCUGGGACAGGUGGCAAUCCUUAUCCCCUUCCGGAACCGCCACGAGCACCUCCCGGUCCUGCUCCGACACCUGAUUCCCAUGCUCCAGCGCCAGCGCCUGCAGUUUGCAUUUUAUGUGGUGGAGCAAGUUGGCACCCAACCCUUUAAUCGAGCCAUGCUUUUUAAUGUGGGUUUUCAAGAAGCAAUGAAGGACUUGGACUGGGACUGUCUUGUUUUUCACGAUGUGGAUCAUAUACCAGAAAACGAUCGUAACUAUUAUGGAUGUGGACAGAUGCCAAGGCACUUUGCAACUAAACUGGAUAAGUAUAUGUAUCUGCUUCCUUAUAAUGAGUUCUUUGGCGGAGUGAGCGGCUUAACAGUGGAACAGUUUCGGAAAAUCAAUGGCUUUCCUAAUGCCUUCUGGGGUUGGGGUGGAGAAGAUGACGACCUGUGGAACAGAGUACAGAAUGCAGGCUAUUCUGUGAGUCGGCCAGAAGGUGACACCGGGAAGUACAAGUCCAUUCCUUAUCACCAUCGAGGAGAAGUCCAGUUUCUUGGAAGGUAUGCCCUGCUGAGGAAGUCCAAAGAACGGCAAGGGCUGGACGGCCUCAACAACUUGAACUACUUUGCGAACAUCACAUACGACGCCUUGUAUAAGAACAUUACUGUCAACUUGACACCCGAGCUGGCUCAGGUGACCGAGUACUGAGACGACGAGAGAAUAUGUGUUUGCUUCACCCGCCACCACCAAGAAAGCAGCCUGACGACAUGUCUCGGGGCUCCACAGAGGAAGAGAACAGAAAUCCAGCAUCCAAUGAAGGAUCACAGGGUUCAAGGGAAAAAUGUGAACACAGAGCACACGCACAAAACGCCUUCACCGUUUGGACCCGACCCCCCGGGUGGAGAGGGUCAGCCCGGGAACUGACUUUCUCUUUUCACCAGACAGACGUCUGUCCUGCUGCUCUUCUCCCCCUACCCCCGCCAUCGCCUGCCCCGACGAACCGUCUCAGCCACAGUCUUCAGAACCAGAACUGUGAUCCGCCACCGUCCCGCUGCCGGCCUCUUCCUGCGAAUGGCCUUUGGAGCUUCUUGGCCCUCAGAGCAAAGAGGCAGACCCACCACUGGGCAGCUGUUUUAGGAAGAGCAAGUGAAACUCCACACGCCAUUCUCCUACAUCUCUGGUGUUCUCUUUGGUUUCAUUUUUUACAAAAAAAAAAAAAAAAAAAAAAAUUGACCUGCUUUGGGUGGGGAUUGGGGGUGGAGGGGAGGGAUCUGGGAAGAUAAAUAGACAUAUAACAAUCACUUCUUGAAGAAGUAUAACUGUAAAUAAGCCAUGUAAAAUGCCUUUUUAAAAUUUAAUUUUCUAGCUGGCUCGAAUUCAAACCGAGGAUUUACACAUUAGAUCCCGUGUUUGUUUGGCAGAUGCAGGAACUCAGCUAAAAUGGAAUAACAUCAUCUCCCAAAAUUGCUGUCACUUUGGAAGGGAGUGGAUAUAGGGCAUGUCACAAAAAAACAACAAAACAGUCCGGUCUUUAUCACCGGUAUCUCCCGCCCCCUCCCAUCCCCCAUCCAAAAGUCCUGCUCUUCACUUUGGCUCCGGAUUCUCCCUCCCAUGCCGAGCAGGCACACUCUAGCCCCAGUCGUUUGCUGAGCAGGGGGCCGCGUGCUAGAACACUGCUCUCCUGCUCCAAGCAAACCCUUCAGGUGGGCCCGCUCUACACGCACCCCAGAGCUCUGGAUUGUGUGUCUUGUCCUUUGAUCAUCAUGAAGGGAGAGUGUGGUUGUUGGCUUUUCCUACUUCUAUCUCUCCCUCGCUCGCUCGCUCUUGGGGAACAUGGCCACAAUUUCUGAAAUCUGUGCCUAAACUACCAGCUAGCUUCAGUGAUUCCUCUGAACAUUUCUCUUACCGGUUUCUGGAAAGAUUCUUUGUGAACGUUAUUAACUAGAACAUAGAAUAACAAGCAACCAGAUUAUGAAGAAUUCAUCCGGGGAGCAGGUGACACUUGUGGGCUGUAGAUCAGCCAGGAUCCCGUUUUGGUCAAAUCAAAGCUUUGGAAUUAGACUAAGCCGCCGGACGGACACAAGAAAGAGCCCAGGUGCUCUGUUCACACCCCCAUGUGCUUUUUGAAGUCAGAUUCUAAAUUGCAUUGAAUGCGUGCCUCUCUUUUCCCCUGAGCCAAACCCCUCGCCUCAGAGUCCCCUUUGACCUCUGCAAAAUUCUGGAAAAUAUCAGUUCUUACCCCCUCUCCUUUUCCAUAAAACAUAUUUAUAUAUCAUUAUGAGGAGUACUUUCUGAAGAGUACUUCAUAUUUUUUUUAAUUGCCUUGUUUGCCUUCAACUUCCUUAAUUUUCAUGGUUUACAUGGAUGCGUGUGUAGGGGCGACAUUUGUGUAUAUACACAUGGGUUAGGGUUUUUUCUGUUGCCUGUGUUGGUUCCAUGGACAUAUGAUCCCCACAAGCUGUGGGAGUGAUAGGCCAGGCCUUGUGUUCUGUUGUGUAUUUUUUUCUUUUGAAGAGUAAAGUGCUAUUUAGAAAAUAAAUUGCAUUGUGAAGCUCUUACCGGCUCAUAUGAGAGAGCAGGUAUCCUGCCCUUGAACACGCUGGUAAGUUGUAUCAUAAUGUUUUCAGAGUUUUGAGCAUUUCCUGCUUUAAAAGACCUUCACGAGGGAACAUGACACAGAGAAGUUCUUCUGGCUUUCCUUUGGCACAGGGUGCAUAGAGCAAUAAAGAUUUCUUUCCCCCCUUCCUCCAGACACCUCUCGGCCUCUGUGCUGGCACUGCCACUUCUCUCUCCGAGGGCUGUGAGCUGCCUUGAGUUUGAUGAGAUUACGAUGCCCUCUGGAAGGGUUUGCCAGGUCAGACUGAUCCUUGGUCAAGGAUGGCGCGUGUACCCUCGGCAGCGUUGUGAAAAGUGAUUCCAUUGGAAGCCUGUCGUUAACAUAUUUGCCACCAAGAACAAAAUGUUGGCCAAAGGCUAACACGCGAUUUCAAAAAGAAAAUGCUGAUCUGAGGACAAAAGGAAAAGUCUCCUUCCACUGUUCCAAGUAGCGUCAUCUUGCCAUCAUGUGGGAAGUUGUUCGAUCGUGUGAAAUCUCUCACUGUGCACUGUGAGUCGUGUAUCCACAGAGCUGAGGAGUAUCACGUGGGGAAACGUAAAAGUUAAAAACAACAGCCAGGCCCGUGUGCUGUUAGUAGUGUGAAAUUCUCAUGUUUUUUUUAAAAAAAAAAAAAACCAAUAAGAACCAAAUGUGACCUUGUCCUUUUGGCAGCUGAAAUUCUUUAAGGCUACCGAUGGAUGACCCCUUAAAUCAGUCUCUCUUGAUUUUCUGUGCCAGGAAGAGUUUUCCUUGCACACCGUGUUUGGUUUUUUGUUUGGGGCGGGCGGGGGGUGGGGUUGGCUGCAAAACUAUUCCUUUUGACAUUACAGGGACUUGUGAGAGCUCCUCUACACAGACAUGAAUAGCCAAGCAAGAGCCACACGUACUGAUUGUAUCCACUCACCAUCGACGAUGGCAUUGAACGUAGCUAGCUUAUUUCCAUCACUACAGUUUUUUGAGCUUGCUGUUAUGUUUUAAGAGGUGCCAGGGGUACAUUUUUGCACUGAAAUCUAAAGAUGUUUUAAAAAACACUUUUCACAAGAAAUAGUCCUUUGUCAUUACAUUAUUUACUCAUGUGUUUGUACAUUUUUGUAUGUUAAUUUAUGAAUGAUUUUUUCAGUAAAAAAUACAUAUUCAAGAACCAAA